RNAcentral lists this small nucleolar RNA (113 nucleotides) under Echinops telfairi (small Madagascar hedgehog). The record is from RNAcentral. Lineage: Eukaryota; Metazoa; Chordata; Mammalia; Afrosoricida; Tenrecidae.
UGAUGGCCGUAGCUGCUGUAGUCAAAAAAGAGCCCACAGUGAGUUUUCCCUUGACGGUCACCGUUCAGUUUGCUAUAACUGAUCAGGAAAAGACAUUUCAGGAAAAGACAUUC